This is a long non-coding RNA of Scomber japonicus (chub mackerel), 1177 nucleotides long. RefSeq lists it as uncharacterized. The record is from RefSeq and is a predicted model, not a curated record. Lineage: Eukaryota; Metazoa; Chordata; Actinopteri; Scombriformes; Scombridae. The transcript has 3 exons.
UGUGCUUUUAGCACAACUUCCUGAAACUUGUCUGAAACUGAAACUAUAAUUUUCUGUACAUUAUCUUAUGUAACUCGGAUCUGUUGGCUGUCGGUGACACGUGAGAAGAAAUGCAGGUUCCACCGCUGCUCCUUCGGACUCUGGACGACCUAGGGGAGAGUGAUUUCAAAACGUUUAAGUGGUACCUCACUUCUAGCGCCUCAACGAGCUACGCACCCAUUCCUAAAUCCCGUCUAGAGAACGCAGCCCGCAGGGACACUGUGAGUGAAAUGAUACAGACCUACGGAGAAGAGUCGGCUGUGAACACCACUGUUGAGAUCCUGAAGAAUAUAAACAACAACUUCGCUGCAGAGAAGUUAAAAAAAGAAUACGCAGAGGGAAGAGCUUGAAGGUGGAAGUGUGGUUACUGCCCAGACGGUCACCGGUUCCACAUCUGGAUCAUGGAAUAUAACUAACAACAAAUAAACUCAUGAAACAUCCAAACCGUGAAGACCAGAAAGGGAAUACACCAUGAGGUUCAGAGAGAAAUAUUUCAAUUAUCAGAUGGAUUGUCAUGAAAUUUACAGCAGAUAAUUAAAGCCCUAAAAAGACACUAAUGAUUUAGUUAUCCUCUGACUUUAACUUCAGCGCCACCAUCAGGUUGUUUAGCUUUAUUUAAGGAUAAAGUGCACUAACAUUGAUGUCUCACUCUCUCAUUAUCUGAUUAGAAUUACAUGUUGUCUUGCUAACAUGCUAACCCAACAAGGUGAACAUGGUCAAUAUUCAACAAGUCCUUGACCACAUGAGUCCACAUCGAUACAUAGGAGUGUUUUCUAGUCUGGUGCCCGUAUUGGCAGUAAUCAUCAAGACAACCCUAAUUUGUCUGUGCUUUCUAAAACCGUUAAACACUCAAUACUACUGCAGCAAAGAUUCACUGUUUUGAUUUAUUUAUCUCACUUCCUUUUUUCCCCUCCCUUCCUUCUCACUAAUUGGUUGUUUAGCUCACCCAUUAAUUGUCCUGAUUAAUGGCGUUUUUUCCACUAUACAGUUCUAGCAUUACUCGGCUUGACUCGACUCAACACUGUUCCAGGAACGACCUUUUCCAUUACAAAAAGGUACCUACUCAACGUGGGCGGGGUCGUCGUAGUACAGCUCCGCGAAACUGCUAUGACUUCGUUUUAUAUGCAACACAAACACA